RNAcentral lists this long non-coding RNA (1521 nucleotides) under Oreochromis niloticus (Nile tilapia). Its description in RNAcentral is "lncRNA (ENSONIG00000027548.1)". The record is from RNAcentral. Lineage: Eukaryota; Metazoa; Chordata; Actinopteri; Cichliformes; Cichlidae.
UCCAAGCUCCUUAGACUAUUAGAGUUUAACAUGACUAAGAAACUUGUGUGGCUUAUUGCAAAUGGAUGAAACCACAUAUUACCUUUAAUGAAUAUGGUUAUCUUUAAUAAGGUGUAGAAAAAAGAAAACAGAGGACAGUUGUUGUUUGUAUUCCAGCUGUAGUAAACACAGAAGUUAACUGAAUCUUUUUGACUACCGAAAGUAAUGCAGUAUUGACUGACGCUGAUUUGAGUUGUCUCUUUCUGUAUUUUUGUGCUUUAUCUUUUGUUACACAGAUUGAAACAGAUCUUUGGUUUUGCCUUUGCUGACUGCUGAUCUGAUCGUCUCAAGUCUGAGUGAACAGAUCUUUGGUUUUGCCUUUUCUGACUGCUGAUCUGAUCGUCUCAAGUCUGGUGACCUGCUGCAGAAGCUCUCUCCCUCUAUCAUUAACAAGCCAUUCAGUCUGUCCUAUCACUCUACCCACUCUAUCUAUUUUGACAAGACGUUCUAUCUUGCUUCACUCUAUCCCACAAGCUCUAUCUAAGUUAUCAAAAAUCACGUUUUUAACUGGAAUCAAAUUUUGACUGGAAUCAAGUUUUGACUGGAAUAAUCAAGUUUUGACAUGGCCCCAAUUUUUGGGAAAUUGAAGUUACCAGUACUUCAUCUAUCUGUUACAGAAUUCUGAGAGAUCUCUGCUCUCACUGCUCCUUCUUUCCUUUCGUUAAACUCUCUCACAUCCAGUCUUUUUCCUGGAAAUUACAAGUAGAAAGUUGAAAUUACAAUAGUAGAAUUACAGUACAGUAGAAACUAUUUACACAGCUGUAGACUUGUAAUUUUAAUUUUUACUUGGAAUACUUUGGAAUAAACACUGAUAGUUUGGCUUAGAGGUGCAAUUACUUUGAUACAUUAUAUAAAAUUUACACCUUCUUUAAGGUUUUUUGUAAUAAGAUAAACUUGUUAUUUUAUACGACACAUUCAGACUGUUGUAUUCACAAAAAUAUUAAAUUGCAUAACUUCAGAUACAUUUUGCUAGUCCGUUUCAUUGUCAGUAACAUUUGACUAUAGUAGGGUUAUACUAUUCUUAUUUAGGGACAAACCCAUUUCUGUUACUCAGUGUAAGUGUUCAGACACAAUUGUCAUCGAGAAGCUGCCCUGAGGACCCAGACUUCCUGUUUCCUGACUGCUGUAGAACAUCCAGCUGAAGAAUCCUCAUUGCCUGUCAUCUGAUCACCACAUCACCACAGCUGUUUAUAUUUGCUUUACAUUUUAGAUAUCUGAAAGAUUUACACAAAGUCUGCUUAAAAACUAAGAGUUUUAUUAUAGCCUGUUGAUUAUUGUGAUUUAUUCUAUACAUCCCUUUACAGAAGCUAAGAUCUAGUCAUUAACAAGUGUGGUUAAAGUAUCAGAAGUAAAAAUAUUGUGUUUUGGAAAAAGCUACAAUAAAACUGAGCAAAGUGUUUUCAAAGAACUGAAUAUCUUUUAUAUUGAGUUUGGAUUAAAGUCAACCUUUUACAUCUAUUUACAUAUUUAUAAAAACAUUGG